GCAAAACUUUGAAGCUGCUUCUCCAGCUUAAAAUGGAUGUGAGCAUUGCCGUGACGCUGAUUCGGGGCCAGAUGGGUGCCGUGGUAGAGCGGGCGGUGAACGGGGCGGUGGAGACCGUGCUGGCCGAGAUGCUCAAAGUGGUCGGAGUCAAGUUUGAGGAGCUGAAAUGCCAGGUGGCGCUGAUAAAGAGGGACGUCGCGACGUUGGAGAGGGAGAAGGUCCUGAAGGAGAAGGAGAACGACAACAUUCGAGCCAAGCUGCGCUACACCGAGCUGAAGCUGAAGUACUACAGGCAAGGAGUGGAGGAGGAGCUGCAGCAGAGGGCCUCCGGUGCUCUCCAAGCACACAGAGACGCCGAAGGUGUUUCCUCCACCGAGGCCUCCCAGUCAUGCUUCACUCAGACCAGGACUUCAAGCGGUCACGCUUUGUUCUGUCCCGCAGAGCGAGACACGGCUCAGAGCAACGAGCAGGAGGGCGACAGUAAGUGGACCUUCCAUCUGCCGCCACACGCCGAAGGCAGCGACGCGGCGGCGACCCCUCCGGUCCGACCCGUCUCCCUGGAUCCGGGGCAGCAGUCGGCCAACGGCUCUCCGUCCCACGAUGGCUCCGCGCAGGCCGAUAGCUCCACUCUGCCCUCCUCUGCUCCACAGGGGAAACUCUGUAGUUUCAGAAGGACAUAUAGUCACAUAUAACCAUAUGAAUCAGUCCAAUGGACAGGAUGAGUGUUUUAAAUGUGAAGCAGGAGGCCCCGGAGCUGCUACAGGAGGAAGAGGAGGUGAUCUGCAUCAAGGAGGAGCCAAAGGAAGAUCAGGAAGUGACGGCCUCCCUUCUGCCGGACUGCCACGUGCAGCAGGGUCCUUUUCCAGUGUCAGAGGCUCAGCGGUCAGCGACGGCGUGUUUGGGACCUCCAGUGAGCCAGAGAAGUGACACCGCAGCCUUCGGCUCAGCCGGACCCAACCCCCAUCUGAUGCCUCAGCCGGUGGCCUCCCUGCUGCAGCCGAUGGUGGCUCUGCCAUGUGGCGUCCUGCCUCGCCAGGCGCCGCGGCCCUGGCCUAAAGAUCUCAGUCUUUAUGAAGAAUACAAACUGCGCCGCAAUGAGCUCCGCAGGCGAAGCAUCAACAGACGCAGAGAGCUGGAGAAGACGCUGCCUCAGCCACUACUGGCUGACCUGGUGCGAGAGCGUCGUGAGAAGACCAGACUGCGGGUGGCCAGAUGGAGGGCGAAGAGGAAACUCCAGGACUGCAUCAAGCAGGACCACUCUCUAGGUGGCGCUGCAGGUCUUUCUCCAGCGGGCUUUGCUCUCGGCAGCCAGCAUCAGCAGCCCAGAGGGACCUGCGCCUCCGGCAGCCAGCAGAGACUCUCCUCAGCUCCGCCUCCGUCCGACGGCUUCCUCUCAGACCCUCUGCCCUUCAUCCCCACCUCCUCCUCCUCCUCCUCCUCGUUUCUCUAUCUGGGAGGCCACAACAUGGCUCCGCACCAGCACACUGUGACAUCGUCAGCCUGUUGCAGCAGAUCGCCUCGUUGA
Molecule: long non-coding RNA, 1525 nt
Organism: Gasterosteus aculeatus (three-spined stickleback)
Lineage: Eukaryota; Metazoa; Chordata; Actinopteri; Perciformes; Gasterosteidae
Source: Ensembl